GCCGGGCGCGGUGGCUCACGCCUGUAAUCCCAGCACUUUGGGAGGCUGAGGCAGGCGGAUCACCUGAGGUCAGGAGUUCGAGACCAGCCUGACCAACAUGGAGAAACCCUGUCUCUA
This is an unclassified non-coding RNA of Pongo abelii (Sumatran orangutan), 117 nucleotides long. It matches the Rfam family "Metazoan signal recognition particle RNA". From Rfam's summary of the family: The signal recognition particle (SRP) is a universally conserved ribonucleoprotein. It is involved in the co-translational targeting of proteins to membranes. NCBI's taxonomy places the organism in Eukaryota, Metazoa, Chordata, Mammalia, Primates, Hominidae. The record is from Ensembl.